ACGGAAGGCAGCAGUGAGGAAUAUUGGUCAAUGGGCGGAAGCCUGAACCAGCCGUGUCGCGUGCAGGACUACGGCCCUACGGGUCUUAAACUGCUUUUGCAAGGGGAUAAAGUGGGGUACGCGUGCCCCUUUGCAGGUACCUUGCGAAUAAGGAUCGGCUAACUCCGUGCCAGCAGCCGCGGUAAUACGGAGGAUCCGAGCGUUAUCCGGAUUUAUUGGGUUUAAAGGGUGCGUAGGCGGGCUGUUAAGUCAGCGGUGAAGCCCCCGGGCUCAACCCGGGGACUGCCAUUGAAACUGGCGGCCUUAAGUACGUUGGGAGUGCGCGGAAUGUGUGGUGUAGCGGUGAAAUGCAUAGAUAUCACACAGAACACCGAUCGCGUAGGCAGCGCACUACGCCGCAACUGACGCUGAGGCACGAAGGCGCGGGGAUCGAACAGGAUUAGAUACCCUGGUA
RNAcentral lists this ribosomal RNA (454 nucleotides) under uncultured Porphyromonadaceae bacterium. RNAcentral's name for it is "partial 16S ribosomal RNA". It matches the Rfam family "Bacterial small subunit ribosomal RNA", at positions 341 to 792 of the family's 1533-position model. The record is from RNAcentral. Lineage: Bacteria; Pseudomonadati; Bacteroidota; Bacteroidia; Bacteroidales; Porphyromonadaceae.